CCCUUAGAUGUUCUGGGCUGCACGCGCGCUACACUGAAGCGUUCAACGAGUAUUUCACCUUGCCCGGGAGGGUUGGGUAAUCUUUUUAAAACGCUUCGUGAUGGGGAUAGAUUAUUGCAAUUAUUAAUCUUCAACGAGGAAUUCCUAGUAAGCGCGAGUCAUCAGCUCGUGCUGAUUACGUCCCUGCCCUUUGUACACACCGCCCGUCGCUCCUACCGAUCGAGUGAUCCGGUGAAUAAUUCGGACUGCAGCAGUGCUUGGUCCUCCGGGCUUUGCAGCGGAAAGUUUAGUGAACCUUAUCACUUAGAGGAAGGAGAAGUCGUAACA
Molecule: ribosomal RNA, 327 nt
Filed under: uncultured eukaryote
Lineage: Eukaryota
Description: partial 18S ribosomal RNA
Rfam family: Eukaryotic small subunit ribosomal RNA
Source: RNAcentral